GAUGAACGCUGGCGGCGUGCCUAAUACAUGCAAGUCGAGCGAGAAUUUUUCAAAUGACACUUCGGUUGAUUUUGGAAAAGGACAGCGGCGGACGGGUGAGUAACGCGUAGGCAACCUGCCCCUGACAGAGGGAUAGCCAUUGGAAACGAUGAUUAAAACCUCAUAACGCCGAAGGAACACACGUUUCAUCGGCCAAAGAUUUAUCGGUCAGGGAUGGGCCUGCGUCUGAUUAACUAGUUGGUGAGGUAACGGCUCACCAAGGUGACGAUCAGUAGCCGACCUGAGAGGGUGAACGGCCACAUUGGAACUGAGACACGGUCCAAACUUCUACGGAAGGCAGCAGUAGGGAAUCUUGCACAAUGGGCGAAAGCCUGAUGCAGCAACGCCGCGUGAAGGAUGAAGGCCUUCGGGUUGUAAACUUCUGUUCUUAGGGAAGAAGAAAGUGACGGUACCUAAGGAGAAAGCCCCGGCUAACUACGUGCCAGCAGCCGCCGUAA
Molecule: ribosomal RNA, 497 nt
Filed under: uncultured bacterium
Lineage: Bacteria
Description: partial 16S ribosomal RNA
Rfam family: Bacterial small subunit ribosomal RNA
Source: RNAcentral